CCGCGUGUAUGAAGAAGGCCUUCGGGUUGUAAAGUACUUUCAGCGGGGAGGAAGGGAGUAAAGUUAAUACCUUUGCUCAUUGACGUUACCCGCAGAAGAAGCACCGGCUAACUCCGUGCCAGCAGCCGCGGUAAUACGGAGGGUGCAAGCGUUAAUCGGAAUUACUGGGCGUAAAGCGCACGCAGGCGGUUUGUUAAGUCAGAUGUGAAAUCCCCGGGCUCAACCUGGGAACUGCAUCUGAUACUGGCAAGCUUGAGUCUCGUAGAGGGGGGUAGAAUUCCAGGU
RNAcentral lists this ribosomal RNA (285 nucleotides) under uncultured Enterobacteriaceae bacterium. RNAcentral describes it as "partial 16S ribosomal RNA". It matches the Rfam family "Bacterial small subunit ribosomal RNA", at positions 397 to 674 of the family's 1533-position model. The record is from RNAcentral. Lineage: Bacteria; Pseudomonadati; Pseudomonadota; Gammaproteobacteria; Enterobacterales; Enterobacteriaceae.